UACGUAGGGGGCGAGCGUUGUCCGGAAUUACUGGGCGUAAAGCGCACGUAGGCGGAUUGUUAAGUCGGGGGUGAAAUCCUGGAGCUCAACUCCAGAACUGCCUUCGAUACUGGCGAUCUCGAGUUCGGGAGAGGUGAGUGGAACUGCGAGUGUAGAGGUGAAAUUCGUAGAUAUUCGCAAGAACACCAGUGGCGAAGGCGGCUCACUGGCCCGAUACUGACGCUGAGGUGCGAAAGCGUGGGGAGCAAACAGG
This 253-nucleotide ribosomal RNA is filed under the name uncultured bacterium. Its description in RNAcentral is "partial 16S ribosomal RNA". It matches the Rfam family "Bacterial small subunit ribosomal RNA", at positions 524 to 776 of the family's 1533-position model. The record is from RNAcentral.